UUAUAUAUAUUUUCACUACUUUCUUAAUUUGUGUAAAAAAUGUCAAAGUGACACUUAUUCAGAAAUGGAGGAGAGUAUAAUGCUAUCAGCACAAUUAAAGUUUCUUUGCAAGCGUCAUUUACUUCACUGCUAAGUGUGUUUAGGGAAAAAUGAGGAAUGUAAUUGUUGACUAUUAGCUACGAGUAAUUUAAGUCAGGCCAAUUAUCGAGAUACACGUGUAGUGGGUUUCUUCCAUGUACCGAUCAGUUUGCAAGUAAUAGAUUUCGUUAUGAUAUUUAAGGUAGUUAUCUUGGUUUUUUUUUUUUUUUGUAAAAAGCUUUGCUAUUUAAAUGCGUGAGAAAGAAAAGUUUUACAAUUUAAUACCCAGUAGGCCAAAUGGCCUUACAUUUCCAAAAAGAUACAGACUUGAAUCAGAGAUUUAGUGAAAACAGGGGAUCUAGAGUCAGGUAGAAAACCAUAACUGGAGCAGUGAGGAGGAGAACUAUG
This 486-nucleotide long non-coding RNA is filed under the name Brassica rapa (field mustard). RNAcentral describes it as "long non-coding RNA (BRAP_LNC002901)". Lineage: Eukaryota; Viridiplantae; Streptophyta; Magnoliopsida; Brassicales; Brassicaceae. The record is from RNAcentral.